This is a long non-coding RNA of Helianthus annuus (common sunflower), 283 nucleotides long. RefSeq lists it as uncharacterized. Lineage: Eukaryota; Viridiplantae; Streptophyta; Magnoliopsida; Asterales; Asteraceae. The record is from RefSeq and is a predicted model, not a curated record. The transcript is spliced from 3 exons.
UAACUAUCUUAUGUUUCAGUCAUUUGGACAAUCAUCAUUCUUUCUAAUGGUGUUUAAAUCAUUUGUUCAUCAAUACUGCUUUAUAUCCAAAAUCACACCUGACAAAGACGUUAUUGUCAUGGCUGAUGAAUUUUGGAGGCAAUUUUAUGGGAAAAAUUUCAAAGAUGGUAAACGAUCUUGCCUUAGACAGCCGAUCUAUCUUUGUCUUUUCAAUGGUUGGAAAUAAAAUUUUCGAGCUUUCAGUCUUUAAUCAUCAAACCAGUACUCAAAUUCAGAACAACAA